GGGGUUGUGGCUCAAUGAUGGAGCACUCGCCUAGCACACGCGAGGCCCUGGGUUGGAUUCUCAGCACCACA
This 71-nucleotide transfer RNA is filed under the name Marmota monax (woodchuck). Its description in RNAcentral is "tRNA.Ala". Lineage: Eukaryota; Metazoa; Chordata; Mammalia; Rodentia; Sciuridae. The record is from RNAcentral.